This 397-nucleotide ribosomal RNA is filed under the name uncultured bacterium. RNAcentral describes it as "partial 16S ribosomal RNA". It matches the Rfam family "Bacterial small subunit ribosomal RNA", at positions 523 to 918 of the family's 1533-position model. The record is from RNAcentral.
AUACGUAGGGGGCGAGCGUUGUCCAGAAUGAUUGGGCGUAAAGGGCGCGUAGGCGGCGCGGUAAGUCUGGAGUGAAAGUCCUGCUUUCAAGGUGGGAAUUGCUUUGGAUACUGCCGCGCUUGAGUGCAGGAGAGGUUAUCGGAAUUCUCGGUGUAGCGGUGAAAUGCGUAGAGAUCGGGAGGAACACCAGUGGCGAAGGCGGGUAACUGGACUGCAACUGACGCUGAGGCGCGAAAGUGUGGGGAGCAAACAGGAUUAGAUACCCUGGUAGUCCACACUGUAAACGAUGAAUGCUAGGUGUAAGAGGUAUCGACCCCUUUUGUGCCGGAGUCAACACAAUAAGCAUUCCGCCUGGGGAGUACGGCCGCAAGGUUGAAACUCAAAGGAAUUGACGGGG